Molecule: long non-coding RNA, 1536 nt
Organism: Phyllopteryx taeniolatus (common seadragon)
Lineage: Eukaryota; Metazoa; Chordata; Actinopteri; Syngnathiformes; Syngnathidae
Exons: 3
Source: RefSeq, a predicted model, not a curated record
GGUAAACAAAUAUUACAGGAAAGAUAUUAAUCACUCUGAUAACUUUAGGGAAGUCAGCAAAUACACGUUUUGUUUUAUUUAACUUGCCCAAGUGUGUGGCAAUUGGAUGUAAGUGCCCAUCCUGUCAUGAGCUAUCCUUGUAGUUCCUGUUUUGGAGCUUGGGUGGCACUUUGUGGGGCUUUGCGCCCCUCUUGCCCUCUCUCUCUCUCUCUUUCUCUCUCUCUCUCUCUCUCUCUCUCUCUCUCCCUUCCCUGUAAUCAGCACCACCUUGGCCGCGCACCUGUUUUCAAUCAGCCGUCAUCAUCUCUGCCUGCAUAAAAGCCUGUCAGAUCCUGGAAGCCCUCACCAGAGUACUAAUGUUCACCCGUGGUACACCGGCAUCGUACUUGCACUGCUCCUGCUGUGUUCCUUGCCUUGUUGACCUCUUCCACCAUACCUCCAAGCCAUCCACCUGCUCACGCUGCCGCAUGCUCCCUGUCUUGACGACCUGUCAUUACGCCUCGAAUUUCCUUUUCAAUAACCCGUUCACCACAAACAUCUCAGACUCCGCUUGUUUCUGGGUGCAGUCACAAUGAUACCUUCGUAUCGUGACACAGCCUGUAUAAUGUUGUAUUUUAAAAAUUGGCAAAGCACACACAAAAUGCAGAGUUGAUGCAGCGUUUUGUCAUCGGUGAUAUGGCAUGACUCCUUCUUGUGACCGGGUCCAAGUCAGACCUGAGAUCAUUGAUAACUCACAUUGCGCUUGCUAAAUUAAACCAUUUGCAUAGCUGCUCCUGAACUGGCAGACGCAAUCCAGGUUGCGCUGUUUUUGUACGAGCAAACCUAUAGCAAAUCAGGCCUAAAGUGUUUAGUGUUAGUUUGCUUGUGACUUUCAAAGGCACCUCAAAGACCGUCCACAUUCUGUGUAGUGUGAACUAAUUACAAAUUAAGAAUGUGGAGCAGAGAACUCUCGUCGAUGACUCCCCACAAGUAAAAAGCCCACAGGUGGACUCUGUGGGUGGACCGAUGCUGGCCGCUGAGCCGCGAGGAAACGCAGCGGACAUCCGAAGGGCAGGAAGCGCAUCUAAUUCAAUAAACGUUUACUUUACUUUUAUUUUGAAACUACACAAAGGUAACCAGUAUUUUGGAGGGGAUCUGUAAUUUGAAAUUGAGCACAAAAUGCAGCUACAUGUGAGGAGAUGUCUGAGGAAGCAGCAUGUGGCUUGAUAGCAAAGGGUAUUUUGGUAUGUUCCAAGUAGAGCUGAAAACUGUUUAGUCAUCAAAUUUUCACAUGGUUAUUAGUGCUACUACUGCAAAUGUAUUAUUAUUAUUGUUAUUAUUAAGAGUCUCGGAGAUUAGUAGUUUUCUGUCUUCUCCACAGACAGAAGACAGAUAUUUUUCUUACAGUGCAUUUGUUUUGUCUAAUAUUCACCCAUUGUAUUUAAUUGUUUUUUCUAAUAUUUAAUUAUGUUUUGUGAUUUUUGUCUAUUGUAACAAUGUAGUAUUUGUGUAAUUUAAAAAAUUUUGAAGAAUUGUUUUUUUCAUAUGAAUUUUCAG